Molecule: ribosomal RNA, 841 nt
Filed under: uncultured Micrococcus sp.
Lineage: Bacteria; Bacillati; Actinomycetota; Actinomycetes; Micrococcales; Micrococcaceae
Description: bacterial SSU rRNA
Rfam family: Bacterial small subunit ribosomal RNA
Source: RNAcentral
UGCCUGUGCCGGCUUUCUUCACAUCUGAGUCGAACGAUGAAGCCCAGCUUGCUGGGUGGAUUAGUGGCGAACGGGUGAGUAACACGUGAGUAACCUGCCCUUAACUCUGGGAUAAGCCUGGGAAACUGGGUCUAAUACCGGAUAGGAGCGCCUACCGCAUGGUGGGUGUUGGAAAGAUUUAUCGGUUUUGGAUGGACUCGCGGCCUAUCAGCUUGUUGGUGAGGUAAUGGCUCACCAAGGCGACGACGGGUAGCCGGCCUGAGAGGGUGACCGGCCACACUGGGACUGAGACACGGCCCAGACUCCUACGGGAGGCAGCAGUGGGGAAUAUUGCACAAUGGGCGAAAGCCUGAUGCAGCGACGCCGCGUGAGGGAUGACGGCCUUCGGGUUGUAAACCUCUUUCAGUAGGGAAGAAGCGAAAGUGACGGUACCUGCAGAAGAAGCACCGGCUAACUACGUGCCAGCAGCCGCGGUAAUACGUAGGGUGCGAGCGUUAUCCGGAAUUAUUGGGCGUAAAGAGCUCGUAGGCGGUUUGUCGCGUCUGUCGUGAAAGUCCGGGGCUUAACCCCGGAUCUGCGGUGGGUACGGGCAGACUAGAGUGCAGUAGGGGAGACUGGAAUUCCUGGUGUAGCGGUGGAAUGCGCAGAUAUCAGGAGGAACACCGAUGGCGAAGGCAGGUCUCUGGGCUGUAACUGACGCUGAGGAGCGAAAGCAUGGGGAGCGAACAGGAUUAGAUACCCUGGUAGUCCAUGCCGUAAACGUUGGGCACUAGGUGUGGGGACCAUUCCACGGUUUCCGCGCCGCAGCUAACGCAUUAAGUGCCCCGCCUGGGGAGUACGG